AAGGAUGACCAGAUUAUUAACUGUCUGCAUGAAUUCCGGUCAUCUGUGACAUAUUUGACCAAGGAUUUUGAACAGCUAGUCAACAUUUUGCUGAAGGUGUCAUGGCUAAGAAAAAGCCAAGCAGUAGUGGAAGAGUAUUUGGCUUUCCUGAGCAAUUUAGUGUCUGCGCAAACCAUUUACUUGAGGCCAUGUCUUGCGAUGAUUGUCUCACACUUCAUACCACCUCGGAUAACCAUACGAGAAAAUAAUGUGGAGAUCUCUGAUUCAGAUGAUGAUGAAAGUG
Pogona vitticeps (central bearded dragon) is the source of this 283-nucleotide non-coding RNA. Lineage: Eukaryota; Metazoa; Chordata; Lepidosauria; Squamata; Agamidae. The record is from RefSeq and is a predicted model, not a curated record.